AACGAACGCUGGCGGCAUGCCUAACACAUGCAAGUCGAACGAGACCUUCGGGUCUAGUGGCGCACGGGUGCGUAACGCGUGGGAACCUUCCCCUAGGUUCGGAAUAACUCCCCGAAAGGGGUGCUAAUACCGGAUAAUUUCUUCGGACCAAAGAUUUAUCGCCUUUGGAUGGGCCCGCGUUGGAUUAGCUAGUUGGUAGGGUAAAAGCCUACCAAGGCGACGAUCCAUAGCUGGUCUGAGAGGAUGAUCAGCCACACUGGGACUGAGACACGGCCCAGACUCCUACGGGAGGCAGCAGUGGGGAAUAUUGGACAAUGGGCGAAAGCCUGAUCCAGCAAUGCCGCGUGAGUGAUGAAGGCCUUAGGGUUGUAAAGCUCUUUUACCCGGGAUGAUAAUGACAGUACCGGGAGAAUAAGCUCCGGCUAACUCCGUG
This 433-nucleotide ribosomal RNA is filed under the name uncultured bacterium. Its description in RNAcentral is "partial 16S ribosomal RNA". It matches the Rfam family "Bacterial small subunit ribosomal RNA", at positions 29 to 507 of the family's 1533-position model. The record is from RNAcentral.